UACGUAGGUGGCAAGCGUUGUCCGGAAUUAUUGGGCGUAAAGCGCGCGCAGGCGGUUUCUUAAGUCUGAUGUGAAAGCCCACGGCUCAACCGUGGAGGGUCAUUGGAAACUGGGAAACUUGAGUGCAGAAGAGGAUGGUAGAAUUCCAGGUGUAGCGGUGAAAUGCGUAGAUAUGUGGAGGAACACCAGUGGCGAAGGCGACUUUCUGGCCUGUAACUGACACUGAGGCGCGAAAGCGUGGGGAGCAAACAGG
Molecule: unclassified non-coding RNA, 253 nt
Filed under: uncultured Caryophanales bacterium
Lineage: Bacteria; Bacillati; Bacillota; Bacilli; Caryophanales
Description: uncultured Bacillales bacterium contains 16S-23S intergenic spacer region
Rfam family: Bacterial small subunit ribosomal RNA
Source: RNAcentral